Molecule: long non-coding RNA, 394 nt
Filed under: Theobroma cacao (cacao)
Lineage: Eukaryota; Viridiplantae; Streptophyta; Magnoliopsida; Malvales; Malvaceae
Description: long non-coding RNA (TCAC_LNC002302)
Source: RNAcentral
UUUUUCUUCUGCUCUUACUUUCCUUUCUUUUCUUUCCCUCUUCUUCCGUUUAUGUUACCUUUUCACUAAAAUGCAAAUUCCAUUUUUUAUACUCUCUCACCCGCUCUCUCUAUAGCGGACUUCCUUUCCCCGUCGGUCACCACAAUAACCCAGCUUUCUCUCUUUUUGUUUGCCUAAACUAGAUCUCCUCACUGUUGCCCAAAGAACCCAAGCUCUCACUUCCUCUACCAGCUCUAAAAGAUCAAACCUUUUUCCUUCUAGAAAAUACCCAAACUGGAACUAAAAAAAAAUUCAAACUCUUACCACUCCCAUUUUGUAAUAUAUAUUUUCUGUGUUUCCUUUCUUCCAUGGCUUUUCUCCUUGGUUUUGGUCGGCAUUCUCAUACCAACACCAG